UGGAGCACGUACUUUCGAGGAUCAGACGAGAGAAUGGACCACGGAUGCAGAAAAGAUACCAAGUAGAGGACUGGCUCAACAGGGUCGAUGUGUUUCAAACUGAAACUGUCCAAAUCAUUGCAGAUGCAGAGGAAGAAAUUCAAGAAAAAUGUAUCAGGUUUUUCUGUCCCAAGAACUGCUGCUCUUGUAAUAGGGUGGGAAUUAGGGUGACCAACAAACUAGAAAAUGUGCAGGAAUUGUUAAGGGAUGGUAAUUUCACUGAUGUGGUAGAGAGUAAUCCUGAUGCAGAGAAUAAUUUGGUUAACACGGUUACGGAAUUUUUUCUGCAGAGUACCCAGCGGGUGAUACGAAUUUUUGGGUUAAGAGCAACUGAUGAGAUUCAGGUAUAAUCACUCGAAUCCAAAAUUUGAUCGGAAAUUAAGGAAGCAUAAAUUUUUUAGGAGUUUUAAAGGGCAAAAUCAGGUGCAUUCUUUAAAAUGGAGAGUUAAUUUAUUGUUUGUAUUGUCCUUGUUACUGUGCAUCCAGUAGAAAGCGUGUUGUUUGUAUACUUCGCUAUUCCAAUAAUGAUCUCCUAUCCUGUUUGUGCUGUAUAUUCACAACUUCUACAAAUUUGGUUUCUGCAUUUUUUUACUGGGUUCUGCUGUCUGUGAAUCCCGAGUUAGCAAAUCGGUUUAAUGAAUCUUG
Molecule: unclassified non-coding RNA, 684 nt
Filed under: Hevea brasiliensis (rubber tree)
Lineage: Eukaryota; Viridiplantae; Streptophyta; Magnoliopsida; Malpighiales; Euphorbiaceae
Source: RNAcentral